This 428-nucleotide ribosomal RNA is filed under the name uncultured prokaryote. Its description in RNAcentral is "bacterial SSU rRNA". It matches the Rfam family "Bacterial small subunit ribosomal RNA", at positions 355 to 774 of the family's 1533-position model. The record is from RNAcentral.
UGGGGAAUAUUCCGCAAUGGACGAAAGUCUGACGGAGCAAUGCCGCGUGAGUGAUGAAGGCCUUUGGGUCGUAAAACUCUGUCUUCGGGGAUGAAACCAUUAUGUGAUAAUACCACAUAAUAUUGACAGUACCCGAGGAGGAAGCCCCGGCUAACUACGUGCCAGCAGCCGCGGUAAUACGUAGGGGGCGAGCGUUGUCCGGAAUCAUUGGGCGUAAAGGGCGUGUAGGCGGUUUUGUAAGUCAGAUGUGAAAACUUGAGGCUCAACUUCAAGCCGGCAUCUGAAACUACAUCACUGGAGGGCAGGAGAGGAAAGUGGAAUUCCAUGUGUAGCGGUGAAAUGCGUAGAUAUAUGGAAGAACACCAGUGGCGAAGGCGACUUUCUGGACUGAACCUGACGCUGAGGCGCGAAAGCCAGGGGAGCGAACG